GUGAAAGGGAAACAACCCAGACCGCCAGCUAAGGUCCCCAAUACUGGUUAAGUGGGAAACGAUGUGGGAAGGCACAGACAGCUAGGAGGUUGGCUUAGAAGCAGCCAUCCUUUAAAGAAAGCGUAAUAGCUCACUAGUCGAGUCGGCCUGCGCGGAAGAUUUAACGGGGCUCAAACCAGUAACCGAAGCUGCGGGUGCUCACGCUUGCGUGGGCGCGGUAGCGGAGCGUUCCGUAGGCCAGUGAAGGAGAAUCGGGAGGUUCUCUGGAGGUAUCGGAAGUGCGAAUGCUGACAUGAGUAACGACAAGGGAGGUGAAAAACCUCCCCGCCGGAAGACCAAGGGUUCCUGCGCAACGGUAAUCGGCGCAGGGUGAGUCGGCCCCUAAGGCGAGGGCGAGAGCCGUAGUCGAUGGGAGACUGGUUAAUAUUUCCAGUACCUUUUGUUACUGCGAUGGGGG
RNAcentral lists this ribosomal RNA (457 nucleotides) under uncultured bacterium. Its description in RNAcentral is "bacterial LSU rRNA". It matches the Rfam family "Bacterial large subunit ribosomal RNA", at positions 1011 to 1470 of the family's 2925-position model. The record is from RNAcentral.